Molecule: non-coding RNA, 298 nt
Organism: Acidobacteria bacterium 13_1_40CM_3_56_11
Lineage: Bacteria; Pseudomonadati; Acidobacteriota
Source: Rfam
CUUCGGGAAUCUGGUUGGGUGAAAUGAAAUGGAUGUGCGUAUCGAUGCCGCCCGCGGUAAGGAUGCGUCCUUCUCCCGCGAGUAUCUCUGUCGAGGCGCCAAUUUCCAUGCCGCGCGUCACGCCGUCCAUGAUGCCGGGAUUACCGGCCUUGCCGAUCGCAGCAAUCCGCCCAUCGCGGACCGCAACAUCAGCCUUGUAGAUUCCCGUAUAGUCGAGGAUCAACGCGUUGGUGAUCACCAGAUCGGGAGCGCCCCCGGCGCGCGUCGCUUCGGGAGACUGGCCCAUGCCAUCGCGGAU